This 496-nucleotide ribosomal RNA is filed under the name uncultured bacterium. RNAcentral's name for it is "partial 16S ribosomal RNA". It matches the Rfam family "Bacterial small subunit ribosomal RNA", at positions 28 to 507 of the family's 1533-position model. The record is from RNAcentral.
GACGAACGCUGGCGGCGUGCCUAAUACAUGCAAGUUGAGCGCUGAAGGUUGGUACUUGUACCGACUGGAUGAGCAGCGAACGGGUGAGUAACGCGUGGGGAAUCUGCCUUUGAGCGGGGGCAACAUUUGGAAACGAAUGCUAAUACCGCAUAAAAACUUUAAACACAAGUUUUAAGUUUGAAAGAUGCAAUUGCAUCACUCAAAGAUGAUCCCGCGUUGUAUUAGCUAGUUGGUGAGGUAAAGGCUCACCAAGGCGAUGAUACAUAGCCGACCUGAGAGGGUGAUCGGCCACAUUGGGACUGAGACACGGCCCAAACUCCUACGGGAGGCAGCAGUAGGGAAUCUUCGGCAAUGGACGAAAGUCUGACCGAGCAACGCCGCGUGAGUGAAGAAGGUUUUCGGAUCGUAAAACUCUGUUGGUAGAGAAGAACGUUGGUGAGAGUGGAAAGCUCAUCAAGUGACGGUAACUACCCAGAAAGGGACGGCUAACUACGUG